This 468-nucleotide long non-coding RNA is filed under the name Ceratitis capitata (Mediterranean fruit fly). Its description in RNAcentral is "uncharacterized LOC110119071, transcript variant X2". Lineage: Eukaryota; Metazoa; Arthropoda; Insecta; Diptera; Tephritidae. The record is from RNAcentral.
GAACUGACUACCUUAAUUUUCAAAAUUUCAAAUUUCAAACGAAUAAAUGCCGUAAAUUUAAAAAUUGAACCUUUGGUUUUAAGUACAUAAAAGCCUACAAAAUGUUUUUCUCUUGAAAAUAUUCGAAAUAUUGCGAAGAAGCCAAUUUAGAAAAAUUGCUUGAAGAAUAUCUGUGUGAACGUAAUGGGCGACCGCAAAAGGAAAACUGUAACAAAAAGCGACGAAAAGUAUCCGCGUAUAAGCUCAGACUAAAUGUUAAUACUUUUAAACUAUUGCCAAAUUAUAUCCCAACAUAUACCAAUUCCAGAGCCUGUUGCUUUAUGAACGAGCUUAACACAAGCAGCUGUUCCCCAUAAUUACACAAUCCGAUUUUUUAGCGGCAAUUCUAAGAGAUCAAAGAAAACACGUUUAAAAAUUCUAGUAUUAUGGUUCCAAGCACAUGCAUUCAUAUGUAUGUACAUUUAUGGC